GUGCCUAAUACAUGCAGUCGAGCGAAUGGAUUAAGAGCUUGCUCUUAUGAAGUUAGCGGCGGACGGGUGAGUAACACGUGGGUAACCUGCCCAUAAGACUGGGAUAACUCCGGGAAACCGGGGCUAAUACCGGAUAACAUUUUGAACCGCAUGGUUCGAAAUUGAAAGGCGGCUUCGGCUGUCACUUAUGGAUGGACCCGCGUCGCAUUAGCUAGUUGGUGAGGUAACGGCUCACCAAGGCAACGAUGCGUAGCCGACCUGAGAGGGUGAUCGGCCACACUGGGACUGAGACACGGCCCAGACUCCUACGGGAGGCAGCAGUAGGGAAUCUUCCGCAAUGGACGAAAGUCUGACGGAGCAACGCCGCGUGAGUGAUGAAGGCUUUCGGGUCGUAAAACUCUGUUGUUAGGGAAGAACAAGUGCUAGUUGAAUAAGCUGGCACCUUGACGGUACCUAACCAGAAAGCCACGGCUAACUACGUGCCAGCAGCCG
Molecule: ribosomal RNA, 492 nt
Filed under: Bacillus cereus
Lineage: Bacteria; Bacillati; Bacillota; Bacilli; Caryophanales; Bacillaceae
Description: bacterial SSU rRNA
Rfam family: Bacterial small subunit ribosomal RNA
Source: RNAcentral